Long non-coding RNA from Argiope bruennichi, 432 nucleotides. RefSeq lists it as uncharacterized. Lineage: Eukaryota; Metazoa; Arthropoda; Arachnida; Araneae; Araneidae. The transcript has 4 exons. The record is from RefSeq and is a predicted model, not a curated record.
UUUUUAUUUGCCUUUAACGAUAACUAUUGUGACCAAAAUAGAGAUUGAAACGUACCAAGAGGGCCAUAAUUCCAGUCCAAUGCGACGCCCACAACUUCCAUUGGGAGGAGAGUUGUGGGAACGUUUCUUGAAGAGGAAAUUGGAAACUUGGUCCACUAAUAAUGACUGAAUCUUCAAGAAGAUUAUAUUGAAAAUUUUGGAGCAAAAAGGCGAAAAAUAUAUUACAGCAUUUUCAUUCACAAAUCUGUCCAAGCUCUAACUAUGCUGACCGAAUUGUCUUGGAAUAAAUUUUCACCUAAGUGAAUAAAAUCUUCUCUGUAUUUGUAAUUGCAAGCCAGAUGGUCAACAGUUUAUUGUGUACAUUUCAAUAUCACAUCUCUCAGUUUGUAAUUUAACAAAUGAAAUAAAUCAAUUCAAGAAUUUUGAAAUCAA